AAAAGCCAGGGCCUGGCUUAAAGCGAACCUGCAGAAACAGUGAACAGGUCUUCCCUGUGAACGUUGUCCGUCGCUUAUGAGAAACGCAGAUCCACCUGGCGCCCAAUAGUUUUAUUCGUUAAAACUCGCCACGACUCCUAGGGCCUCUGGAUCUGUAGCUAGGGGGUAAGGGGGGACUUUAAGAGCAGGUGCCCGUCUAGAAUGGUCCCACUGUGUGGCCUUGGGAGCAUCCCUCCGUCUCUGAGUCCAUGUCUCCAUCUCUGGAGGCGGCCCCUCCCUUGGGAGCUCUGGAGCUCCAAAUGAUGGAGAUCCCAUUUGAACUUGGUGCAGCUUGGCCUUGAAGCCUGGUGGCCCAGGACCCGGGCUGAGGCACAGGGAGCACCCAGGACCCGGGCUGAGGCACAGGGAGCCGCGCUCUCAGACUGAGCUGUGCUGACGCGGGGGUUCACAGGUCAGAGUGUGGGAGAGCAGCGGGCUGGGUGCACUCAGUGGGAGAGCAGCGCGGGCCAUGCCCAGCAGCACAGGCCCUGGGUUCCUCCUCCAGGACGGAAAGGAACAGAGGAGCAAAAACACAACAAACAAACACAGGGUUUCUGUGACGUCUCAGGUUGGGUUGGGGACAGAAUGGGGUGAACACCGGCCUGAUCCUGACUCUUCCUGGCCAGGAGCCUUUGUCCAGAGACUGCCCAGGAAGUCUGUGCCCACUCUCUCACGUGUGGGGCAGGUGGCCCCACACAGCCAGUGGGUGCCCCAAGACUUUGCUUCUGCACCUCGCACCAGCAGCCAGCUCCCCUUGUCCGCCUGAGCAGGGGAGCCCCCUCCCGCUGGCACCUGGGUGAUCCUGUUAUCGCCGGCCAUCAGCCAGAGCCCAGCUGGGGACAGGAGGUGGGGGCGGGGCAGUGACUGUGAACAGGGGUGGCCCUCCCCCAUUCCUCCGGGCCUCACCUGGGCACAGCAGGAGAACCUGACUCUCCCACGGACCCCUCCCAGCCGGCUGAGACAGAUUCCGGGCGUCUCCAGAACCUUGCCCAGACCAUCUCAGAAUGCCUCCUGGCCCCGACUCAGCACAGUCACACUGGAACACCCAGGUGGGGCCUUGUGCUGGCGAAGACGGAAAGGCAAAUAUUGGGAGAGGAAAAAAGAACCCCUGGCCCUGUUGACAACACUUCCUACUUGUGCCUGAAGUGUGGCUGAUAUUUUCUGUCCUUACAGAUGCUUAUAAAAACUUCUGUUAAAGUCAACUAA
Long non-coding RNA from Marmota monax (woodchuck), 1245 nucleotides. RefSeq lists it as uncharacterized. Lineage: Eukaryota; Metazoa; Chordata; Mammalia; Rodentia; Sciuridae. The record is from RefSeq and is a predicted model, not a curated record. The transcript has 2 exons.